RNAcentral lists this ribosomal RNA (450 nucleotides) under uncultured bacterium. RNAcentral describes it as "partial 16S ribosomal RNA". It matches the Rfam family "Bacterial small subunit ribosomal RNA", at positions 354 to 796 of the family's 1533-position model. The record is from RNAcentral.
GUGAGGAAUUUUGGACAAUGGGCGCAAGCCUGAUCCAGCAAUGCCGCGUGCAGGAAGAAGGCCUUCGGGUUGUAAACUGCUUUUGUACGGAACGAAACGGUCCUGGUUAAUACCUGGGGCUAAUGACGGUACCGUAAGAAUAAGCACCGGCUAACUACGUGCCAGCAGCCGCGGUAAUACGUAGGGUGCAAGCGUUAAUCGGAAUUACUGGGCGUAAACCGUGCGCAGGCGGUUUUGUAAGACAGGCGUGAAAUCCCCGGGCGCACCCUGGGAAUGGCGCUUGUGACUGCAAGGCUGGAGUGCGGCAGAGGGGGAUGGAAUUCCGCGUGUAGCAGUGAAAUGCGUAGAUAUGCGGAGGAACACCGAUGGCGAAGGCAAUCCCCUGGGCCUGCACUGACGCUCAUGCACGAAAGCGUGGGGAGCAAACAGGAUUAGAAACCCUGGUAGUCC